UUGAUUGACCUUUCCAGAGCAAGCACAUUAGCAAAGUUUGCCCUCAGUUCCAACUCACAGAUGAAGUAAGGGAAAAUAUUGCUCGUGGAAUGGCAAUUUUAGGUCCUACGUUUACCCUCGAUGCUCUUGUUGAAUGUCUUGUGAUUGGAGUUGGUACCAUGUCAGGGUACGUCAGCUUGAAAUUAUGUGCUGCUUUGGCUGCAUGUCAGUUCUUGCCAACUACUUCGUGUUCAUGACUUUCUUCCCAGCUUGUGUGUCCUUGGUAUUAGAGCUCUAGGCUUGGUUCUUGUUCAUGCUCACAGU
RNAcentral lists this long non-coding RNA (303 nucleotides) under Homo sapiens (human). Its description in RNAcentral is "HSALNT0089806". Lineage: Eukaryota; Metazoa; Chordata; Mammalia; Primates; Hominidae. The record is from RNAcentral.